CUGGAGACAGGUGCUGCAUGGCGUGUCGUCAGCUCGUGUCGUGAGAUGUUGGGUUAAGUCCCGCAACGAGCGCAACCCUUGCCUUUAGUUGCCAGCAGUUCGGCUGGGCACUCUAAAGGGACUGCCGGUGUUAAACCGGAGGAAGGUGGGGAUGACGUCAAGUCCUCAUGGCCUUUAUGACCAGGGCUACACACGUACUACAAUGGCCGAUACAAAGGGCAGCGACACUGCGAGGUGAAGCCAAUCCCGUAAAAUCGGUCUCAGUCCGGAUUGGAGUCUGCAACUCGACUCCAUGAAGUUGGAAUCGCUAGUAAUCGUGGAUCAGCAUGCCACGGUGAAUACGUUCCCGGGCCUU
RNAcentral lists this ribosomal RNA (355 nucleotides) under uncultured Desulfobulbus sp. Its description in RNAcentral is "bacterial SSU rRNA". It matches the Rfam family "Bacterial small subunit ribosomal RNA", at positions 1028 to 1382 of the family's 1533-position model. Lineage: Bacteria; Pseudomonadati; Thermodesulfobacteriota; Desulfobulbia; Desulfobulbales; Desulfobulbaceae. The record is from RNAcentral.